CAGCCGCCGCGGUAAUACGUAGGGACCAAGCGUUGUUCGGAUUUACUGGGCGUAAAGGGCGCGUAGGCGGCAAUUCAAGUCAUCUGUGAAAUCUCCGGGCUUAACUCGGAACGGUCAGAUGAUACUGCUUUGCUAGAGUACAGAAGGGGCAAUCGGAAUUCUUGGUGUAGCGGUGAAAUGCGUAGGUAUCAAGAGGAACACCUGAGGUGAAGACGUGUUGCUGGGCUGAUACUGACGCUGAGGCGCGAAAGCGUGGGGAGCAAACAGGAUUAGAUACCCCUGUAGUCCCUGUCUCUUAUAC
Molecule: ribosomal RNA, 301 nt
Filed under: uncultured bacterium
Lineage: Bacteria
Description: partial 16S ribosomal RNA
Rfam family: Bacterial small subunit ribosomal RNA
Source: RNAcentral